AAGGAAGUGAUGCAUAAUUUUCAAGCUGACAACAAUGAUGGUUGUUGUAUUCAUACUGUCUGAUCCAU
This is a small nucleolar RNA of Hemicordylus capensis (graceful crag lizard), 68 nucleotides long. Lineage: Eukaryota; Metazoa; Chordata; Lepidosauria; Squamata; Cordylidae. The record is from RefSeq and is a predicted model, not a curated record.